ACUCAUCUAGCUUAGUCGGUAGAGUGCAAGGCUUUUAACCUUGAGGUUGUAGGUUCAAGUCCCAUGGUGAGCG
Molecule: non-coding RNA, 73 nt
Organism: Zea mays
Lineage: Eukaryota; Viridiplantae; Streptophyta; Magnoliopsida; Poales; Poaceae
Source: Rfam